Molecule: ribosomal RNA, 253 nt
Filed under: uncultured bacterium
Lineage: Bacteria
Description: partial 16S ribosomal RNA
Rfam family: Bacterial small subunit ribosomal RNA
Source: RNAcentral
UACAGGGGGGGCAAGCGUUAUUCGGAAUUAUUGGGCGUAAAGGGCGCGUAGGCGGAUUGUUAAGCAAGAUGUGAAAUCCCCGGGCUUAACCUGGGAAUGGCAUUUUGAACUGGCAGUCUAGAGUGUGUCAGAGGGGGGUGGAAUUCCACGUGUAGCAGUGAAAUGCGUAGAUAUGUGGAGGAACACCAAUGGCGAAGGCAGCCCCCUGGGAUAACACUGACGCUCAUGUACGAAAGCGUGGGUAGCAAACAGG